Long non-coding RNA from Lagopus leucura (white-tailed ptarmigan), 2035 nucleotides. RefSeq lists it as uncharacterized. The transcript has 5 exons. Lineage: Eukaryota; Metazoa; Chordata; Aves; Galliformes; Phasianidae. The record is from RefSeq and is a predicted model, not a curated record.
GAGAGAACAAGAGAGCAUUACAGCCUGGGAAAGGAACAGAGAUUUAAUAACACUCAUUGCUUGCACAGCAUUAAGGUAGCUAAGGGCUGUUUUCCCCUUAUUUAUAAGGGUCCUACAUCUCUUGAAAUGACAACUUGAGGCAAAGCUAACAUCCCUGCUGUCUGAAGUGUUGUUCACACCAUCUCAAGUGGAGGAUAACCAAGGUAUAAAGUGGCUUGGCUCUGAAAGUCUUGAAAAAAAGUCACAGAAAAUCCCUAUGUUUUGCAAAUUUGAUGCAUUCAGAGGCACAUGUGCACACGGCAGUGAAGAAAUCCUGCUUCACACAUGCCUGCCCAUCGACUGCUUUGGACUGAGUGACAAUAAGCCAGUUUUUUAAAGAAGAACAUGGGGCUGUUGGAGCUGGACCAGAGGAGGGCCACAAAAUGAUCAGAGGGCUGGAGCACCUCCCCUACGAGGACAGGUGGAGAGAAGUAGUAAUUGGACUGGAGCAAUUUCUGCAGCAGUGUCUGAGGCUGUUUCCCGCUUUGAACUCGCCACUCUCACUGACGUAUGUUAAUUUUAGUGAUUACACAAACGAGACUCCAGCCAAUAAAGUUGCUGUAGUCAAACAAAUGGCUCUGAUCCAAGUCUCUCUUGCUUUAUCUUCAGAACUGCUGCUUCACACCAUGAAUGAACUGCAAUCAAAUAAAAAUAUUCACCACAACAGCUUGUCAGCAGCACAACGUGCACUAUUGCUUCUUUUGCAGCAGGAUUUGGGAUUUCAUGGCGCUACAUUCUGCCUAUGAAUGCCUGAAAAACUCCUAUCUGGGUUAUAAAAGGACAUUUAUUCAAUGAGGAGGAAAAAAAAUAAAAGGAAACCGUUCAAUGUUUCAGUUUUCAUUCAGGUAAAAUCCCAGUUCAGAAGGGGCAGGGAAGCAUGUGCUGAAAAUGAAGUGUGUGUGCAAGUCCCACUGAAGCCAGGUAGAUUGUAAGCAUAUGCUGAAAUGCUUAUUUAAAUUGGGCCCUUAAUUAUUAUGUGCUAGGAGAUUGAACUAUGCUUCAUAUUAUUUUCAUACAUCUAUAUUUAUAGAUGUGUGGGUGGGUGGGUGUGCACGGAUAUAUGUAAGCUGUUCACUAAAGAACAUUAAAAAUGAAACAAAAAAAAAGUCCCCCUCAUCCCUUCUCCUGAAGUGACAGAUUAUUUGAUGGUUUUGACAAGGAAGACUUUAACAUUUGGUCGAAACAGCCAUUCAGAGAAAGAAAAAUGAGUCUGGCCUCACUUUUACUUGCUUUUCUGGCAGAGUUCGCAGCUUGAGCAUCACUGCUGCCAGGAUCCCAGCCCAUCCUUGCACAUCUCACUCUGGUGGAGUGCAUCUCAGCUCGCAUUUGUUCUGUGCUUUAACAACACAGCUGUCAUUUGAACUUAUACUCUUCUCCAAUUCCAUCAAUUGUUCCAAUCAUUUAUUUAUAUCAAGUUUAAAGUGUAUAUAAUGUUAAAGUACUGUUCACCUAACAGUGGAUUUUCUCCGUGAUAUAUCUCAGUCCCAUCAGUUUAUAAAGGGAGUAACUCUGCAGAGCUCUAUCUAAUGAUACCCCUGCCUGUACCCUUCUAAGACAAGCUGGUGUUCCUGAUAUUGUACAAAUGCAGGAAACUAAUGAAACGCAGAGGCUGGGGGGAGGAUUAAUAAAAGUUCUCAAAUCCGCAAGUUCAAAAACCGUUUUAUAGACCAUCAAAUGUAAAGUAAGGAAAAAAAUGAAUGCUUUGAGGAGGGAUUUGAUUUAGAGGGGGCAAGAUGUUUGGCUCCAAGCAAGAAGGAGCAGGCACAAGAGAAACAGUGUGGACUGUCCCAAGGAAGGGAUGGAAACGUAGUCCAGGAGAGCAGCCCACCAGUAGGAAAUGAGGGAAGGUGAAGCAGCUCCUGAGGGGUUUUGUAAGGCAGGAAAGUGGUUUUGAACUGAAUUCGGCACUGGAUAAGAAGGUGACAGGAGAUGGGAGCAAUAUGAAUGAAAAAUAGUUCAGCCACAAAAUUCAGCAUGCAUUAAAGUUUCAAGAAAA